GACGAACGCUGGCGGCGUGCCUAAUACAUGCAAGUAGAACGCUGAGGCUUGGUGCUUGCACCGAGCGGAUGAGUUGCGAACGGGUGAGUAACGCGUAGGUAACCUGCCUGGUAGCGGGGGAUAACUAUUGGAAACGAUAGCUAAUACCGCAUAACAGUAGAUAUCGCAUGAUAGCUACUUGAAAGGUGCAAAUGCACCACUACCAGAUGGACCUGCGUUGUAUUAGCUAGUUGGUGAGGUAACGGCUCACCAAGGCAACGAUACAUAGCCGACCUGAGAGGGUGAUCGGCCACACUGGGACUGAGACACGGCCCAGACUCCUACGGGAGGCAGCAGUAGGGAAUCUUCGGCAAUGGACGGAAGUCUGACCGAGCAACGCCGCGUGAGUGAAGAAGGUUUUCGGAUCGUAAAGCUCUGUUGUAAGAGAAGAACGAGUGUGAGAGUGGAAAGUUCACACUGUGACGGUAUCUUACCAGAAAGGGACGGCUAACUACGUG
This 497-nucleotide ribosomal RNA is filed under the name uncultured bacterium. RNAcentral's name for it is "partial 16S ribosomal RNA". It matches the Rfam family "Bacterial small subunit ribosomal RNA", at positions 28 to 507 of the family's 1533-position model. The record is from RNAcentral.